CCUACGGGUGGCAGCAGUGGGGAAUAUUGGACAAUGGGGGAAACCCUGAUCCAGUGACGCCGCGUGAGUGAAGAAGUAUUUCGGUACGUAAAGCUCUAUCAGCAGGAAAGAAAAUGACGGUACCUGACUAAGAAGCCCCGGCUAACUACGUGCCAGCAGCCGCGGGAAAAAGUAGGGGGCAAGCGUUAUCCGGAUUUACUGGGGGUAAAGGGGGCGUAGACGGCAGCGCAAGUCUGGAGUGAAAUGCCGGGGGCCAACCCCGGAACUGCUUUGGAAACUGUGAAGCUGGAGUGCAGGAGAGGUAAGCGGAAUUCCUGGUGUAGCGGUGAAAUGCGUAGAUAUCAGGAGGAACACCGGCGGCGAAGGCGGCUUACUGGACUGUAACUGACGUUGAGGCUCGAAGGCGUGGGGAGCAAACAGGAUUAGAUACCCUAGUAGUC
RNAcentral lists this ribosomal RNA (440 nucleotides) under uncultured bacterium. RNAcentral's name for it is "partial 16S ribosomal RNA". It matches the Rfam family "Bacterial small subunit ribosomal RNA", at positions 338 to 795 of the family's 1533-position model. The record is from RNAcentral.